GGGGAUAUAGCUCAGUGGUAGAGUGCUUGCCUAGCAUCCAUGAAGUCCUGGGUACAAUCCCCAGUACCACCA
RNAcentral lists this transfer RNA (72 nucleotides) under Heterocephalus glaber (naked mole-rat). It matches the Rfam family "tRNA". From Rfam's summary of the family: Transfer RNA (tRNA) molecules are approximately 80 nucleotides in length. Their secondary structure includes four short double-helical elements and three loops (D, anti-codon, and T loops). The record is from Rfam by way of RNAcentral. Lineage: Eukaryota; Metazoa; Chordata; Mammalia; Rodentia; Bathyergidae.